This is a small nucleolar RNA of Misgurnus anguillicaudatus (oriental weatherfish), 137 nucleotides long. RefSeq annotates it as small nucleolar RNA SNORA13. Lineage: Eukaryota; Metazoa; Chordata; Actinopteri; Cypriniformes; Cobitidae. The record is from RefSeq and is a predicted model, not a curated record.
UGCCUUUUGUGUUACCCAUUCUUUGCAUUUACCCAAAAGAAUGUGGUGUCAAUAAAGGCAUACAUUAAAAUGUUUGGUUUGGCCUUUCCAAAGUGCCUUCUGUGGCACCUUGUCUAAAGCUCUAACCAAAUACAAGA